Molecule: ribosomal RNA, 231 nt
Filed under: Paltothemis lineatipes
Lineage: Eukaryota; Metazoa; Arthropoda; Insecta; Odonata; Libellulidae
Description: partial 28S ribosomal RNA
Rfam family: Eukaryotic large subunit ribosomal RNA
Source: RNAcentral
ACCCGUCUUGAAACACGGACCAAGGAGUCUAACAUGCGCGCGAGUCGUUGGGUCGGACACGCUCCGCUAAACCCAUAGGCGCAAUGAAAGUGAAGGUUACCCUUGCGGGACCGAGGGAGGACGGAGGCGUCGAAUUCGGCGCCUCCCGCACUCCCGGGGCGUCUGAUUCCUCUUCUUGAGGGAAGGCGCACCCAGAGCGCACACGUUGGGACCCGAAAGAUGGUGAACUAU